RNAcentral lists this ribosomal RNA (493 nucleotides) under Meyerozyma carpophila. RNAcentral's name for it is "partial large subunit ribosomal RNA". It matches the Rfam family "Eukaryotic large subunit ribosomal RNA", at positions 148 to 657 of the family's 3401-position model. Lineage: Eukaryota; Fungi; Ascomycota; Pichiomycetes; Serinales; Debaryomycetaceae. The record is from RNAcentral.
AUUUGAAGAUUGUAACCUUGGGGUUGGCUCUUGUCUAUGUUUCUUGGAACAGGACGUCACAGAGGGUGAGAAUCCCGUGCGAUGAGAUGCCCAAUCCUAUGUAAGGUGCUUUCGAAGAGUCGAGUUGUUUGGGAAUGCAGCUCUAAGUGGGUGGUAAAUUCCAUCUAAAGCUAAAUAUUGGCGAGAGACCGAUAGCGAACAAGUACAGUGAUGGAAAGAUGAAAAGAACUUUGAAAAGAGAGUGAAAAAGUACGUGAAAUUGUUGAAAGGGAAGGGUUUGAGAUCAGACUCGAUAUUUUGUGAGCCUUGCCUUCGUGGCGGGGUGACCCGCAGCUUAUCGGGCCAGCAUCGGUUUGGGCGGUAGGAUAAUGGCGUAGGAAUGUGACUUUACUUCGGUGAAGUGUUAUAGCCUGCGUUGAUGCUGCCUGCCUAGACCGAGGACUGCGAUUUUAUCAAGGAUGCUGGCAUAAUGAUCCCAAACCGCCCGUCUUGA